Molecule: small nucleolar RNA, 137 nt
Organism: Ochotona princeps (American pika)
Lineage: Eukaryota; Metazoa; Chordata; Mammalia; Lagomorpha; Ochotonidae
Source: Ensembl
CCCUCUUACAAAGGUGUGUCUAUGGUUCCCUGUUUUGGACAUGUAAGAAUUAGAGGCAAAAUUUAAAAAUAUGUGAAUUUGGGGAGUUCUCAAGCCUGCUUGCUCCCUGUAGGCUCAAGACUAACCCUACCAUAUUG